RNAcentral lists this long non-coding RNA (1465 nucleotides) under Zostera marina. RNAcentral describes it as "long non-coding RNA (ZMAR_LNC004114)". The record is from RNAcentral. Lineage: Eukaryota; Viridiplantae; Streptophyta; Magnoliopsida; Alismatales; Zosteraceae.
CUAGCAUCAUUAACCAAAAUAUAGAUGAAGGCAUGUGAUGAGACAUGCCUGAUUACGUCAGUCACUCCCAACAACGUCCCUCAACAAGGAUUAGGGUUCCUUCGUAGGCAUGCAUCCACGGUGCGGAGCAAGUGUCUACGUCAAGUACUCAAGGCAACACCUGAGAAUCGCCGAUUCCAGGGGUGAAUCACCGACUCCAGAUAGGGCACUCGGGUCUGGUAGACCGAGGACCUGACCACAAGGGAGUCGGCGACUUCACCUCUGAAUCGGCGACUCCCAUACCUGAGUCGCCGAUUCUCAGCCGUUACUUGGGAGGGCCCACGUCAUUAUGACACCCUUAAUUGGACACCAUAAUGGAGUGGACCCCACGCUAAUGAAUGGAAAAACGGCCCCAGGACCCUAUAAAAGGGUCUUUGGGGGUCCUCCACUCCCAAGUCAUUCACCCUUGACUCACACUCCACACUAGAGCAACCAAGGAGCCCGAGUCGUCGAUUCCCCUCCACUUCUGCAGGUAUUUGACGUAGAGCGCGCGUCGUGGACUCCAAAGCCACCGGCCUUCCUCGUAACCCCGCGAGCCUACUGGUAGCAGAUUUCGUGCUUCAUCAGCAUGCAUAAAAAUCCAUCCACAAAUGGGACAUCGCGUACUAAACAACAUGUAUAAACUUAUAGAAAUUACGUAUAAAUCUUGUCGAAUUUGCAUAAGACAUGUAUAAGGACCCAUUAACAUAAGUAGCAUCAAAACACAUAAAAAUCAUAUGCAAAACAUGUAGGAAACUAUAGAAACUAUAUAAAAAGGUAUAUAAAAGUAUACGUAAAAAUCCAGUAACACGUAGAACGAUAAACACAUCAAAACAAGUAUAGAUAAACAUGUAGAAAACCAUGUAUAAAUCUUGUCGAACUUGUAUAAGAAAUGCAUAAGGAUUUAUUAUCGUGAGUAGCAUCAAAACACAUAAAAAAAAACCUAUGCAAAAACGUGUAUAAAACUAUGUGCAAACCAUAUAAAAGGUAUCUAAAGUAUGCACAAAAAUCCAGCAACGCCUAGAGCAUUAAACACCUCAAAACAAACAUCGAUAAACAUGUAAGAAACCAUGUAUAAAGCUCGUCAAAAGGAAUAGAAGUACAUGGAUAAAGAUCCAUCAUGAUGUGUAGUACUAAAAAAUGUAAAACAAUAUGCAAAAACUUAUAUAAAAUUAUGUGUAGAUCAUAUAAAAAGUAUAUAAAAGUAUGCAUAAAAAUCCAGCAACAUAUAAAAUAUCAAACGUAUCAAACAACCAUGUAUAAACAUAUAGAAAACUAUCAAAUCUUUCAUAAAAACGUGGAGAACUAGACUUAUUCUUACACAUAUUCACUAUCAUUCCUAAAGGAUAAACUAUCAAAGAAAGCUACUAUGAUUUCCGUACCUUUCUUUUUCCUAACUUUUCUCCUAGCUUUAGCUCCUAGCUCCGAACCGUGCCCUCCCUCUUCU